RNAcentral lists this ribosomal RNA (437 nucleotides) under uncultured Nitrospira sp. RNAcentral's name for it is "bacterial SSU rRNA". It matches the Rfam family "Bacterial small subunit ribosomal RNA", at positions 348 to 785 of the family's 1533-position model. The record is from RNAcentral. Lineage: Bacteria; Pseudomonadati; Nitrospirota; Nitrospiria; Nitrospirales; Nitrospiraceae.
GCAGCAGUAAGGAAUAUUGCGCAAUGGGCGAAAGCCUGACGCAGCGACGCCGCGUGGGGGAUGAAGGUCUUCGGAUUGUAAACCCCUUUCGGGAGGGAAGAUGGAAUGGGGUAACCCAUUCGGACGGUACCUCCAGAAGCAGCCACGGCUAACUUCGUGCCAGCAGCCGCGGUAAUACGAAGGUGGCAAGCGUUAUUCGGAUUUACUGGGCGUACAGGGAGCGUAGGCGGUUCGGUAAGCCCUUUGUGAAAUCUCCAGGCUUAACCUGGAAAAGUCGGAGGGGACUGCCGGGCUAGAGGACGGGAGAGGAGCGCGGAAUUCCCGGUGUAGCGGUGAAAUGCGUAGAGAUCGGGAGGAAGGCCGGUGGCGAAGGCGGCGCUCUGGAACGUUUCUGACGCUGAGGCUCGAAAGCGUGGGGAGCAAACAGGAUUAGAUAC